CAUUGCGUCUCGAAGCUGCCGGAACUCUGGCGGGGAGGGGAAGGAAAGAGAAAUAGAGGAGAGGAAGUUCUGGGAGCCCAGAUGCUCAGACUUUCCCACCGCAGUGCCCCUAGUGGCAGAGGAGAAGAAUGCAGGUGGCUGGACUCUAAAGCUGGGGCCUCUGGGACCGAGAGACAAGCAAGAAGCAACAAGAAUCCAGGGGAUGGAGGAAUGCAGUGCUUCCACCCCAGAAGCUUCAGGAACACCUGCUGCCCAGGGCAAGGCUUACUUGUGUGUUCCUGUUUCUCCUCCUCACGUGCCUUUUCUACCCUUGGAGAGGCGCUGAAAGGAGACUCCUAGCAGGUGGCAAGAAGGUGGAGGAUAAGAAAGAAGACCGGCCGCAGGCAGUCAGGAUGCCACGGUGUGAAGCCAGAGGUCAAAGCACUUUGAGGGCAGCGCUUCUGUUCCAC
RNAcentral lists this long non-coding RNA (449 nucleotides) under Urocitellus parryii (Arctic ground squirrel). RNAcentral describes it as "lncRNA (ENSUPAG00010018479.1)". Lineage: Eukaryota; Metazoa; Chordata; Mammalia; Rodentia; Sciuridae. The record is from RNAcentral.